Molecule: ribosomal RNA, 481 nt
Filed under: Mesorhizobium sp.
Lineage: Bacteria; Pseudomonadati; Pseudomonadota; Alphaproteobacteria; Hyphomicrobiales; Phyllobacteriaceae
Description: partial 23S ribosomal RNA
Rfam family: Bacterial large subunit ribosomal RNA
Source: RNAcentral
UGUGUAGGAUAGGUGGGAGGCUUUGAAGCGUGGACGCCAGUCUGCGUGGAGCCAUCCUUGAAAUACCACCCUGGCAACUUUGAGGUUCUAACUCAGGUCCGUCAUCCGGAUCGAGGACAGUGUAUGGUGGGUAGUUUGACUGGGGCGGUCUCCUCCUAAAGAGUAACGGAGGAGUACGAAGGUGCGCUCAGACCGGUCGGAAAUCGGUCGUAGAGUAUAAAGGCAAAAGCGCGCUUGACUGCGAGACAGACACGUCGAGCAGGUACGAAAGUAGGUCUUAGUGAUCCGGUGGUUCUGUAUGGAAGGGCCAUCGCUCAACGGAUAAAAGGUACUCCGGGGAUAACAGGCUGAUACCGCCCAAGAGUUCAUAUCGACGGCGGUGUUUGGCACCUCGAUGUCGGCUCAUCACAUCCUGGGGCUGAAGCCGGUCCCAAGGGUAUGGCUGUUCGCCAUUUAAAGUGGUACGCGAGCUGGGUUUAGA